Molecule: RNA transcript, 2838 nt
Organism: Harpegnathos saltator (Jerdon's jumping ant)
Lineage: Eukaryota; Metazoa; Arthropoda; Insecta; Hymenoptera; Formicidae
Gene name: palmitoyltransferase ZDHHC2
Exons: 11
Source: RefSeq, a predicted model, not a curated record
AGUCACGGAAAACUGGUCUAUGAGCCUUCUCUAGUUCUUCUCUUUGGUUUACUUGUGCAAUAAGGGGUUUCCGUGCUCGACGCUUGUCGCCGUGCACGGAAGCCUCGUAAAAAAAGGGAAAACAGCAGGCAACAGCAGGCAACUUUUCUCGAAGAGGUCCCCGUCGUCGUCGUCGUCGUCGUCGUCGUCGUCCUCGACGUCGUGCUUGCGAUGCUGCUGUGCUCCGUUUCGAAGGAUAAUGCGUUGACGUGGUCCGUGAUAAGAAGACACGCAUCAUCUUCAUGCACUUUAUCGACGGUGCGGUGAACAGGAUGGGCAAGCAAGACGGUCCGUGUUGGUGGUGCGUGAAGGCCGUCAAGUGGAUACCAGUGAUCUUCAUCGUGACGAUCGUUGCCUGGUCCUAUUAUGCUUAUGUGGUGCAAUUGUGCUGUUAUACAAUAGACAAUUAUGUUCAAAAAGGUUUCUAUCUACUUUUCUUCCAUAUUCUAUUUCUGAUGUUUUUAUGGUCAUAUUGGCAAACAGUAUUCACAGAAUUGAUGCCAGUACCAGAUAAGUUUAAAAUACCUGAUGUUGAAAUGGAGAAAUUACAACAAGCUGAAACUGAGGAAAUACAGAGACAAAUUUUGGAAAGAUUUGCACAGGAUCUUUCAGUUACCAAUCGCACUAUAAAAGGAGCAAUGCGAUUUUGUGAAAAAUGUCAACUGAUAAAGCCUGAUAGAACACAUCAUUGCAGUGUAUGUGGAACUUGUAUUUUAAAAAUGGAUCAUCAUUGUCCAUGGGUGAACAACUGUGUAGGCUUUCACAAUUACAAAUUCUUCAUGUUGUUUCUGGCAUAUGCACUUCUAUACUGUAUGUUUAUUACUGCUACAUCCUUGCAAUACUUUAUACAUUUUUGGAAAGGUGAAUUAGAUGGAACGGGUAGAUUCCAUCUACUAUUCCUUUUUUUUGUUGCAUUGAUGUUUGCAGUCAGUCUUAACUCUCUUUUCUUCUACCAUUGCUAUCUGGUUGUGCACAAUAGGUCAACACUAGAGGCCUUUAGAACUCCUAUGUUUCGAACAGGAAAGGACAAAGAUGGGUUUAGCUUGGGGAAAUAUAAUAAUUUUCAGGAAGUAUUUGGCGACAAUGCACGACUCUGGUUCUUGCCUGUGUUUAGUAGUCUGGGGAAUGGUGUCGUCUACCCAGUACGAUCGCAGCACCAGGGCACACCCAAUACUUAUGACUCCAUGGGCAGUACUCAGAACAGCUUUGGAGACGGGGUAAACUUUCCCGAGAGGCUGUGCAAUGAGGAUACUCAUACUCUGUUGGGCCAUGGAACCCAACAGUGGGUUGACGAUACCGACUUUGACUCCCCACAUCCCUACGUAAAUCAGCUCAAAUACAAGAUGUCCCAGAACUCAGAAUUAACAGACGGCGAAUUGUGGGACACCGUGUAUGUUCAGAGGACUCGACGUAUGUUCUCACGACGUAAUAGCGAAUAAGUUCGAUGUAUCCUUUACAGAAAGGGUUUUCCCUGACUGUUACCGAGUGGCAUUCUUGUAUUAUUUAUUGACACUGAUGCGUAUUAUGAUCAAAUAAUAGUCAUUAAUAAUGAGUGAUGAAUGUACACGUACAUUCCGAUAGUUAUUACAAGCAUUCGUACUUCGUUGAAAUAGACGGGCGAUCUAGGGGACGAGUAAAGUAGAGGAUAAGAGUAGCUAGUACGUUAGUGAGUAAAAUAAUGUGUAAGCAUACUACGCAUAUGUACCGGAAAGACAUAAUCUUUUCGCUGUAAAAAUAUAAGAUUUUAUUUAUCAUUUUAUUUAUAUAUAUAUUUGUUUUUAUUUAGAACGUUGCCACUCUCCACGUGUUGCACGUGCGCGGUGCGCGUCAGCAAAAAUUGAGAGAUACAAUAAAUUGCUCAGUAUUAUUAUUUACAGAGAGUAUAUAUAUCAUUGUUGGACGCACUAUUUUAUUAAUACACGUUGAUUGAAUGCGUGGUCUUUUAGAUUUUCUGCAUUUCAUGUGUGCACUACAUGAAGUUUUAUCGUAAAUAUACAGAUAAGCUUACAAAAUACAUCAUGCCAAUUACAGUAAGUGCGCCGUUGAAUUCAAUAUUAAUAAGUGUCAAGUAUUAUUUUCGUCUCACCGCGAGUUCGCGAGCUUUCGCUUUCAUUAACAGACUAAUUUCGAUAUUUUUACCGAAAUCGUUUGCUGCUUAUUCUCCCCUCUAAUAAUAAUAAUUUUAAACUAUUAAGAUAACUUGCUUGAGAAUCCAUAUUUGAAUCAUUAACUUGUUACAAUUGUCUAAUAUAAUAUUUUUCUGUUUGAAAAAUAAGAGAAGUCGAUUAGCUUUUAUAUUUCACAUGUGUGCAUCACAUACAAAGUAUAUUUUAUAUCGUUUGUACGUAGAUAUAUUUUUUUGUAAGCUUGUAGUAUAUGUAUCGAAUUUCUUCAUGACCAGCUCAUUAAAACGUGCAACUUUGAAUUUCAUUUACAGCAUACGUAAUUAUUAGUUACGCGCACACAUCAUACAUGUAGGUAAAUACAGUAGCACUAUAUCUUUUGUUAGUGUAAUUCAUGUUACUGAAUUUCUGAUUGACCACAGGUCCACCAUUGAUCAAAUGACAUUGGUAGAAGAAGCUACAAUUUUGGCUCUUGGCACUGGCACUGCUGUGAUAGGUCCUGGUGUUGAUGCCGACCAACCACCACUGUUGACUACCGCGGAAUCUGUUUGAACAGCACCGUUCAUAUGAAAAAUCUCACGUAUACGCUUCUGUGAAAUUGUAAUUAUGACGUAGCGAGUAUAGUUUGAAAUAUCGAUUUACUUUCGGUGCUCCUUUCCAUUCUACACUCUAAAGU